This 31-nucleotide non-coding RNA is filed under the name Mus musculus (house mouse). The record is from RNAcentral. Lineage: Eukaryota; Metazoa; Chordata; Mammalia; Rodentia; Muridae.
UCCGACCACAUGAAGGUGCACAGCCAGGGCC